Molecule: non-coding RNA, 148 nt
Filed under: Chlorocebus sabaeus (green monkey)
Lineage: Eukaryota; Metazoa; Chordata; Mammalia; Primates; Cercopithecidae
Source: Rfam by way of RNAcentral
GCCGGGCGUGGUGGUGUGCGCCUGUAGUCCCAGCUACUUGGGAGGCUGAGGCAGGAGAAUCACUUGAACCAGGGAGGCGGAGGUUGCAGUGAGCUGAGAUUGUGCCACUGCAUUCCAGCCUGGGCAACAGAGUGAGAUCCUGUCUUAA